This 497-nucleotide ribosomal RNA is filed under the name uncultured bacterium. RNAcentral describes it as "partial 16S ribosomal RNA". It matches the Rfam family "Bacterial small subunit ribosomal RNA", at positions 28 to 507 of the family's 1533-position model. The record is from RNAcentral.
GAUGAAAGAGGGAGGAGUGAGAAAUACAUGCAAGUCGAGCGAACAGACGAGGAGCUUGCUCCUCUGACGUUAGCGGCGGACGGGUGAGUAACACGUGGAUAACCUACCUAUAAGACUGGGAUAACUUCGGGAAACCGGAGCUAAUACCGGAUAAUAUAUUGAACCGCAUGGUUCAAUAGUGAAAGACGGUUUUGCUGUCACUUAUAGAUGGAUCCGCGCCGCAUUAGCUAGUUGGUAAGGUAACGGCUUACCAAGGCAACGAUGCGUAGCCGACCUGAGAGGGUGAUCGGCCACACUGGAACUGAGACACGGUCCAGACUCCUACGGGAGGCAGCAGUAGGGAAUCUUCCGCAAUGGGCGAAAGCCUGACGGAGCAACGCCGCGUGAGUGAUGAAGGUCUUCGGAUCGUAAAACUCUGUUAUUAGGGAAGAACAAAUGUGUAAGUAACUAUGCACGUCUUGACGGUACCUAAUCAGAAAGCCACGGCUAACUACGUG